This 2911-nucleotide ribosomal RNA is filed under the name Enterococcus faecium. RNAcentral's name for it is "23S ribosomal RNA". It matches the Rfam family "Bacterial large subunit ribosomal RNA". Lineage: Bacteria; Bacillati; Bacillota; Bacilli; Lactobacillales; Enterococcaceae. The record is from RNAcentral.
UUAAGUGAAUAAGGGCGCACGGUGGAUGCCUUGGCACUAGGAGCCGAUGAAGGACGGGACUAACACCGAUAUGCUUUGGGGAGCUGUACGUAAGCUAUGCGGUAAUACGUAGGUGGCAAGCGUUGUCCGGAUUUAUUGGGCGAUGUUACGAUUGUGUGAAUACAUAGCACAUUCGAGGUAGACGCAGAGAACUGAAACAUCUAAGUACCUGCAGGAAGAGAAAGAAAAUUCGAUUCCCUGAGUAGCGGCGAGCGAAACGGGAAAAGCCCAAACCAGCAAGCUUGCUUGUUGGGGUUGUAGGACUCCAAUAUGGUAGUUCUUUCAGAUAGUCGAAUGACUUGGAAAAGUCAGUCAAAGAGGGUAAAAACCCCGUAGACGAAAUGUGGAAGACACCUAGGAGGAUCCUGAGUACGGCGGAACACGAGAAAUUCCGUCGGAAUCCGGGAGGACCAUCUCCCAAGGCUAAAUACUCCCUAGUGACCGAUAGUGAACCAGUACCGUGAGGGAAAGGUGAAAAGCACCCCGGAAGGGGAGUGAAAUAGAACCUGAAACCGUGUGCCUACAACAAGUCAAAGCCCGUUAAUGGGUGAUGGCGUGCCUUUUGUAGAAUGAACCGGCGAGUUACGAUUGCAUGCGAGGUUAAGUUGAAGAGACGGAGCCGCAGCGAAAGCGAGUCUGAAUAGGGCGUUUGAGUAUGUAGUCGUAGACCCGAAACCAUGUGAUCUACCCAUGUCCAGGUUGAAGGUGCGGUAAAACGCACUGGAGGACCGAACCCACGUACGUUGAAAAGUGCGGGGAUGAGGUGUGGGUAGCGGAGAAAUUCCAAACGAACUUGGAGAUAGCUGGUUCUCUCCGAAAUAGCUUUAGGGCUAGCCUCGGAAUUGAGAAUGAUGGAGGUAGAGCACUGUUUGGACUAGGGGCCCAUCUCGGGUUACCGAAUUCAGAUAAACUCCGAAUGCCAUUCAUUCAUAUCCGGGAGUCAGACUGUGAGUGAUAAGAUCCAUAGUCGAAAGGGAAACAGCCCAGACCACCAGCUAAGGUCCCAAAAUAUAUGUUAAGUGGAAAAGGAUGUGGGGUUGCACAGACAACUAGGAUGUUGGCUUAGAAGCAGCCAUCAUUUAAAGAGUGCGUAAUAGCUCACUAGUCGAGUGACCCUGCGCCGAAAAUGUACCGGGGCUAAACAUAUUACCGAAGCUGUGGAGUACACCUUUAGGUGUAUUGGUAGGAGAGCGUUCUAAGGGCGUCGAAGGCAGAUCGUGAGGACUGCUGGAGCGCUUAGAAGUGAGAAUGCCGGUAUGAGUAGCGAAAGACAGGUGAGAAUCCUGUCCACCGAAUGACUAAGGUUUCCUGGGGAAGGCUCGUCCGCCCAGGGUUAGUCGGGACCUAAGCCGAGGCCGACAGGCGUAGGCGAUGGAUAACAGGUUGAUAUUCCUGUACCCGUUGUUUUUGUUUGAGCAAUGGAGGGACGCAGGAGGCUAAGGAAUGCAGACGAUCGGAAAUGUCUGUCCAAGCAGUAAGUCUGAAGAGGAGUUAAAUGCUUCUUUUCUUAAGGACAAGCUGUGAUGGGGAGGGAAAUAAUAGUACCGAAGUUCCUGAUGUCACACUGCCGAGAAAAGCUUCUAGUGAGAAAACAGCGGCCCGUACCGCAAACCGACACAGGUAGUCGAGGAGAGAAUCCUAAGGUGAGCGAGAGAACUCUCGUUAAGGAACUCGGCAAAAUGACCCCGUAACUUCGGGAGAAGGGGUGCUGAUCAUACGAUCAGCCGCAGUGAAUAGGCCCAAGCGACUGUUUAUCAAAAACACAGGUCUCUGCAAAAUCGUAAGAUGAAGUAUAGGGGCUGACGCCUGCCCGGUGCUGGAAGGUUAAGAGGAGUGCUUAGCGCAAGCGAAGGUACGAAUUGAAGCCCCAGUAAACGGCGGCCGUAACUAUAACGGUCCUAAGGUAGCGAAAUUCCUUGUCGGGUAAGUUCCGACCCGCACGAAAGGCGUAACGAUUUGGGCACUGUCUCAACGAGAGACUCGGUGAAAUUUUAGUACCUGUGAAGAUGCAGGUUACCCGCGACAGGACGGAAAGACCCCAUGGAGCUUUACUGUAGUUUGAUAUUGAGUGUCUGUACCGCAUGUACAGGAUAGGUAGGAGCCGUAGAAAUCGGAACGCUAGUUUCGAUGGAGGCGCUGGUGGGAUACUACCCCUGCGUUAUGGCCACUCUAACCCGCACCACUAAUCGUGGUGGGAGACAGUGUCAGAUGGGCAGUUUGACUGGGGCGGUCGCCUCCUAAAAGGUAACGGAGGCGCCCAAAGGUUCCCUCAGAAUGGUUGGAAAUCAUUCGAAGAGUGUAAAGGCAGAAGGGAGCUUGACUGCGAGACCAACAAGUCGAGCAGGGACGAAAGUCGGGCUUAGUGAUCCGGUGGUUCCGCAUGGAAGGGCCAUCGCUCAACGGAUAAAAGCUACCCUGGGGAUAACAGGCUUAUCUCCCCCAAGAGUCCACAUCGACGGGGAGGUUUGGCACCUCGAUGUCGGCUCGUCGCAUCCUGGGGCUGUAGUCGGUCCCAAGGGUUGGGCUGUUCGCCCAUUAAAGCGGCACGCGAGCUGGGUUCAGAACGUCGUGAGACAGUUCGGUCCCUAUCCGUCGCGGGCGUUGGAAAUUUGAGAGGAGCUGUCCUUAGUACGAGAGGACCGGGAUGGACUUACCGCUGGUGUACCAGUUGUUCUGCCAAGGGCAUUGCUGGGUAGCUAUGUAGGGAAGGGAUAAACGCUGAAAGCAUCUAAGUGUGAAGCCCACCUCAAGAUGAGAUUUCCCAUUUCUUUAAGAAAGUAAGAUCCCUGAGAGAUGAUCAGGUAGAUAGGUCAGGAGUGGAAGUACAGUGAUGUAUGGAGCGGACUGAUACUAAUCGAUCGAGGACUUAACC